UAAUAUGUCAUGUACAUUGUGCAAAAAAACAUCCUAUGAAACAGGAAAUAGCAGCAUUAUUAUAAGAUUUGACUUGUAAUAGAAAAUGGCUUUGAGUUGGUGCAUGAAGGGAGAAUCCAUGCCGUUCAAGUGCAACCCGAGGCGGCAGCACGAGUCGUGCCACUCGACGCCCUGGAGUUCAAUACGUGAGUAUUCAAAGGGCCAAAAUGCAUACAAAUUCCAAAAGUAGUGGAGGAGGAGAGGGGGAAUCUUUCUUUGAUCACUUGAGCCAGGGCCGUGAGGAAAUCUGCUGACAUUUGCCUCUGCUCUUGAUCAUGCGCUCGUGAGUGAUCGCAAAAAAACAACAAAAAAAAAGAUCAUGCGCUCGUGAGACGAUACUCCUGUGAACAUUUUUUUAUAUUAUCCCUUUGAUAAUAUAAAACUCUGGCUACUGAUACUUAUGAAAAUAUAAUAUUUUAUUUCAUACUAAGCAUCUUAUGCAUUUGACUAAUUUGCCAAAAAACUUAAAUUGAGGUAAUGGUUUUGCAUUUUGGCAAAGUUGACAAAUGAGAGAGGAGACUUGACAUUUUUGUCCAACCCCGGUGAAAGAGCAUCUAGGCCCCUAAGUGAUUUCGGUGAUUAAUGACAUUGUUGAUUACUAUGACUAACGUGUGUUUUGCAGAGGCAAAGUCAUAGGUAAGGUCAUGGUAAACAGGGACUCGAUGAACAGGGACGUACAUG
This 720-nucleotide long non-coding RNA is filed under the name Sorghum bicolor (sorghum). RNAcentral describes it as "long non-coding RNA (SBIC_LNC008058)". The record is from RNAcentral. Lineage: Eukaryota; Viridiplantae; Streptophyta; Magnoliopsida; Poales; Poaceae.